AGUGAACGCUGGCGUCAGGCCUAACACAUGCAAGUCGAACGGCAGCACAGUGAGAUGUUGCUCUUACGGGUGGCGAGUGACGGUCGGGUUAGGCAUACAUCAGAUUCGUCUAUGUCUUGGAGGAUAUCGGAGCGAGACUUACACUAACUCCGCAUACAACCCACGUGUGAAAUCAGUCGCUCAUUGGGAUUUUGGCGUCAUAAUGAGCUGGGGUCGGUUUAGCUAGUGGGCGGGGUAAAGGCUCACCAGUGCGACGAUCCGCAGCCGGUCCGAGAGGAUGAUCAGCCACACUGGAACUGAGACACGGUCCAGACACCUACGGGAGGCAGCAGUAGGGAAUCUUAAGCAAUGGGCGCAAGCAUGACCCAGCCAUACCGCGUGAGUGAUGAAGGCCUUCGGAUCGUAAAGCUCUUUUGUUAGGAAAGAAAAACUGUGGGAUAAUAGCCCCCUGUUCUGACGGUACCCAAUGAGUAAGCCCCGGCUAACUUCGUG
This 492-nucleotide ribosomal RNA is filed under the name uncultured bacterium. RNAcentral's name for it is "partial 16S ribosomal RNA". It matches the Rfam family "Bacterial small subunit ribosomal RNA", at positions 29 to 507 of the family's 1533-position model. The record is from RNAcentral.